Molecule: ribosomal RNA, 465 nt
Filed under: Triticum aestivum (bread wheat)
Lineage: Eukaryota; Viridiplantae; Streptophyta; Magnoliopsida; Poales; Poaceae
Description: partial small subunit ribosomal RNA
Source: RNAcentral
AUGUCCAGCACAUCCUUCCCUCUCCUCACGCGGACCAACUACCCCAGUUGGUCGGUCAUGAUGAAAGUCAUCAUGGAGGCGCGGCACAUGUGGAAAGCCGUGGAUACCGGCGAUGUCGAGUACGAGGAGGACCGGUUGGCGAUGGAGGCAAUCUUGUGCUCCGUCCCACCGGAGAUGGUGCUCACCGUUGGCGCCAAGGAGACGGCCAAGGAAGCAUGGGACAUCAUCAAGACUCUACGCAUCGGCGUGGAGCGCGUACGGGAGUCGAAGGCCUAGACCUUGCGCCUCCAGUACGAGGAGAUCCGGUUCAAAGCCGGUGAACAAGUCGACGACUUCGCCUUGCGGCUGCAAGGUCUCGUCAACAAGCUCGCAAUGCUCGGAGAUCACAUUGACAACAAGAUGGUGAUUCUCAUGUUCCUCCGUGUCGCCCCCAGGCAGUAUAAGCAACUGGCCUGGUCCAUUUAG